Molecule: ribosomal RNA, 547 nt
Filed under: uncultured bacterium
Lineage: Bacteria
Description: bacterial SSU rRNA
Rfam family: Bacterial small subunit ribosomal RNA
Source: RNAcentral
UGGGGAAUAUUGCGCAAUGGGGGGAACCCUGACGCAGCCAUGCCGCGUGAAUGAAGAAGGCCUUAGGGUUGUAAAGUUCUUUCGGUAUUGAGGAAGGUUGAUGUGUUAAUAGCACAUCAAAUUGACGUUAGAUACAGAAGAAGCACCGGCUAACUCCGUGCCAGCAGCCGCGGUAAUACGGAGGGUGCGAGCGUUAAUCGGAAUAACUGGGCGUAAAGGGCACGCAGGCGGUUAUUUAAGUGAGGUGUGAAAGCCCUGGGCUUAACCUGGGAAUUGCAUUUCAGACUGGGUAACUAGAGUACUUUAGGGAGGGGUAGAAUUCCACGUGUAGCGGUGAAAUGCGUAGAGAUGUGGAGGAAUACCGAAGGCGAAGGCAGCCCCUUGGGAAUGUACUGACGCUCAUGUGCGAAAGCGUGGGGAGCAAACAGGAUUAGAUACCCUGGUAGUCCACGCUGUAAACGCUGUCGAUUUGGGGGUUGGGGUUUAACUCUGGCGCCCGUAGCUAACGUGAUAAAUCGACCGCCUGGGGAGUACGGCCGCAAGGUUA